RNAcentral lists this small RNA (908 nucleotides) under Pseudoalteromonas sp. BSw20211. Its description in RNAcentral is "bacterial LSU rRNA". The stretch from base 448 to 908 matches the Rfam family "Bacterial large subunit ribosomal RNA", at positions 1 to 514 of the family's 2925-position model. The record is from RNAcentral. Lineage: Bacteria; Pseudomonadati; Pseudomonadota; Gammaproteobacteria; Alteromonadales; Pseudoalteromonadaceae.
UGCACACACCGCCCGUCACACCAUGGGAGUGGGUUGCUCCAGAAGUAGAUAGUCUAACCCUCGGGAGGACGUUUACCACGGAGUGAUUCAUGACUGGGGUGAAGUCGUAACAAGGUAGCCCUAGGGGAACCUGGGGCUGGAUCACCUCCUUAUACGAUUUAGAACUUAUUUGUUCGUAGUGUCCACACAGAUGAUUGUUAGUUAGUUUUACCCUCUGGGUUAACUAAUUAAUAUGCUCUUUAAAAAUUUGGAAAAGCUGAUAAUAAAAUUCGUAUGAAUACAUUGUAUUUGUACAGAGUUUUCAAAAGUAAAAAAGAAUGAUAGCAGUAUCAUUCAGUGCCAAUUAAUAAUCCUCGAACGUUUAUUAAUUGGUAUCUACUUUAGUAUUCAAUAUUAACUUCUGGCGAAGUUAAACUGUCACGAAACAAAGACCCGUUUGGGUUGUAUGGUUAAGUGACUAAGCGUACACGGUGGAUGCCUUGGCAGUUGGAGGCGAUGAAGGACGUAUUAACUUGCGAUAAGCCUAGUCAAGCUAGUAAAAAGCACUUGAGACUAGGAUUUCCGAAUGGGGAAACCCACCUGCUUGCAGGUAUCGUUAACUGAAUACAUAGGUUAACGAGGCGAACGCGGAGAACUGAAACAUCUAAGUACCCGUAGGAAAAGAAAUCAACCGAGAUUCCGAUAGUAGCGGCGAGCGAAAUCGGAACAGCCCUUAAGCUUAUUAUGUGUUAAUGGAAGGCUCUGGAAAGUGCCACGAUACAGGGUGAUAGUCCCGUACAUGAAAAUGCAUUUUAAGUGAAAUCGAGUAGGUCGGAGCACGUGAAACUUUGACUGAAUAUAGGUGGACCAUCAUCUAAGGCUAAAUACUCCCAACCGACCGAUAGUGAACCAGUACCGUGAGGGAAAGG